This 74-nucleotide transfer RNA is filed under the name Marchantia polymorpha subsp. ruderalis. It matches the Rfam family "tRNA". From Rfam's summary of the family: Transfer RNA (tRNA) molecules are approximately 80 nucleotides in length. Their secondary structure includes four short double-helical elements and three loops (D, anti-codon, and T loops). The record is from Rfam by way of RNAcentral. Lineage: Eukaryota; Viridiplantae; Streptophyta; Marchantiopsida; Marchantiales; Marchantiaceae.
ACUAGAACAGCUCAGUCGAAGAAAGCAUGGGACUGCGGAUCCCAAGGUGGAGUGUUAGAAUUUCACUUCUAGUG